This is a long non-coding RNA of Macaca fascicularis (crab-eating macaque), 1811 nucleotides long. NCBI's taxonomy places the organism in Eukaryota, Metazoa, Chordata, Mammalia, Primates, Cercopithecidae. The record is from Ensembl.
AAUGUUUUUCAAAGUGUAGGAGCCUCAGUGUCACAUCUGUAAGGGAUGUUCUGAAAUUAGUGGGGCCUGUGCCUGGAUGACUGGCAGGUGUUGCUGGAAUUCAAUAAGAGGAAGAAACGGCCAGGGAUACUAAAUAUCCUACAUCGCAUAGGACAGUCCCACGCAAGGAAGAAAUAUUCCACUUCAAAUACAAGUAUCAGCCCUAUUUGGAAAGAAAGUAUCUGAGGACCCUUGCCUGGAAAGAAUGAAAGGGUGAGAAAAAGAGCAGUUUAAAGAUUGAAGGUUGGAGAAAAUAAUGCAAAGGAAGAGAUGUCAUGAGUUUGGUUUUUCUUUUCUUUGAAAGGCCAAGAAAUCCAGCUAUUUAUGAGUCCUAUAUUCAGAAAUAAGCCCCACCAGAACAUGAAUUUUCCAUAAGGCCACCUCAUCCAUCCCUCUAUCCUGUUAGAACCAGCUGAGUGGUUGCCUGCCUUCUGCUUGCAUACCACCAGUCAUAGGGAGCUUACCAUCUUCCUUCAUGGCAGUUCCUUCCAUCUUCAGCCACCUCUGAGCCUUAAGGUCAACAUCGCCUCAUAGGGUAAUCCCUCACACUUCAGAGAGUUCAUGGCAGGCCAGGCCUUUUCUCCAGACAGCCCCUCCCUGCUCCUUCUACAACCAGGUUCCCAGGGCCUGACCUGCCCGAGCCACUCCCUCUUCCCCUGUCUCCACAAGGCCUAGAGGGGAGCAGGGUUUCCACAAGCGAUCUGACCAAUACCUGCCCUCUGCCAGAGCACCCUAGCCUCUCAAGGUUGCCAGGCCUUUCUAGACCAGGGAUCCAAGUUGGGGUCCAGCAACUGCCCACCAUGGCAAGUGACACUUGGCACAGUUGGCAGGCACCAUGGUGGGGGAAUCAGAGUGGUGCGCCCUUGGAUGGAUGACAAGGGUCACACAAGCCCAUGCCAACUCACAAGCAGCACAUGUAUGCUCGUACUCAUGUAUGGGUACACCCAGGGCAUUCCCAGAGGCAGCAGCUUCAAGGACAAACCAGAGAAAUAAGAGCAUCUCCCAACCUAAACUGGCACCCAGAUACCACCCUCAAGACCCAUGCUUCCCCACCCCACUGCCCCAAAGCUGCCCAUUGAUCAUCUAUUUCUCCCCACAUACUUCGAAUGAUGAAAGGAUUGCGCUUACGCGCAGGAAGUAUUUCCAUCCUUUGCAUAGGAAAUAUUUCGAUCUCUGCUCUCGAGAAAGCUACCUCUUAUAUGGAGUUGAAGCACUUGGUCUGAAGCUAAACUCCAAACUGGUCAUUGUCAGAACAUGAACUCAUAGAACAUGACUAUGACAUCGCUGAGUGACAGAGAUCCAAGAUGGCUCCCUGCUCCUCCCCAUCCCCCCAGCCGCCUACCCACCAAUGGAGGUUCCUCACAGCCAGAUUUUCUCCUUAAUACCCACCUAUGUGCGGCAACAUGCCUGAGCAGGGCCUGUGGCCCAGUGGGCUCCUGCCUCAGCAGAAACUUUCAUGUACAUGUAUUGCAUGUCUACUAAUAAGUAACAGAAGGGAGAUGAGAUGGAGUGGGAGGUAAGGCUGGAAGAAAGGGACAAGAUAGAGGCUUUGGGCUCUGUCACUGACUUCCUGGCAUGCCUUUUCACCUGUCACCUGAGGGCUCUGAGCUUUAGUGUCCUCUAUCAAAGGAGAUUCCACCUGCCUCAUCCACCCAGACCACUGCCAGUCUUGGUGGUGAGGGAGACUGAAUGAAAACAGUCUGCUUGUCACCAAAGGCCAACCAGGAGAGGCCUAAAGACUAGUUUGGAAGGUGUAAAAAAAAAAAAAAAAA